GAAGGGAUUAAUGGGCCCAUGAGA
This 24-nucleotide non-coding RNA is filed under the name Arabidopsis thaliana (thale cress). Lineage: Eukaryota; Viridiplantae; Streptophyta; Magnoliopsida; Brassicales; Brassicaceae. The record is from RNAcentral.